UACGGGAGGCAGCAGUGGGGAAUAUUGCACAAUGGGCGAAAGCCUGAUGCAGCUAUGCCGCGUGUAUGAAGAAGGCCUUAGGGUUGUAAAGUACUUUCAUCGGGGAGGAAAAAACAAAACUAAUAAUUUUAUUUCUUGACGUUACCCGAAAAAGAAGCACCGGCUAACUCCGUGCCAGCAGCCGCGGUAAUACGGAGGGUGCUAGCGUUAAUCAGAAUUACUGGGCGUAAAGAGCACGUAGGUGGUUUUUUUAAAGUCAGAUGUGAAAUCCCUGGGCUUAACCUAGGAACUGCAUUUUGAAACUGAAAUACUAGAGUAUCGUAGAGGGAGGUAGAAUUCUAGGUGUAGCGGUGAAAUGCGUAGAUAUCUGGAGGAAUACCUGUGGCGAAAGCGGCCUCCUAAACGAAUACUGACACUGAGGUGCGAAAGCUGGGGAGCAAACAGGGAUUAGAUACCCGU
This 459-nucleotide ribosomal RNA is filed under the name uncultured bacterium. Its description in RNAcentral is "bacterial SSU rRNA". It matches the Rfam family "Bacterial small subunit ribosomal RNA", at positions 340 to 789 of the family's 1533-position model. The record is from RNAcentral.